Molecule: ribosomal RNA, 760 nt
Filed under: Salmonella enterica subsp. enterica serovar Enteritidis
Lineage: Bacteria; Pseudomonadati; Pseudomonadota; Gammaproteobacteria; Enterobacterales; Enterobacteriaceae
Description: partial 23S ribosomal RNA
Rfam family: Bacterial large subunit ribosomal RNA
Source: RNAcentral
GCCAUGGGCAGGUUGAAGGUUGGGUAACACUAACUGGAGGACCGAACCGACUAAUGUUGAAAAAUUAGCGGAUGACCUGUGGCUGGGGGUGAAAGGCCAAUCAAACCGGGAGAUAGCUGGUUCUCCCCGAAAGCUAUUUAGGUAGCGCCUCGUGAAUUCAUCUCCGGGGGUAGAGCACUGUUUCGGCUAGGGGGCCAUCCCGGCUUACCAACCCGAUGCAAACUGCGAAUACCGGAGAAUGUUAUCACGGGAGACACACGGCGGGUGCUAACGUCCGUCGUGAAGAGGGAAACAACCCAGACCGCCAGCUAAGGUCCCAAAGUCAUGGUUAAGUGGGAAACGAUGUGGGAAGGCCCAGACAGCCAGGAUGUUGGCUUAGAAGCAGCCAUCAUUUAAAGAAAGCGUAAUAGCUCACUGGUCGAGUCGGCCUGCGCGGAAGAUGUAACGGGGCUAAACCAUGCACCGAAGCUGCGGCAGCGACACUGUGUGUUGUUGGGUAGGGGAGCGUUCUGUAAGCCUGUGAAGGUGUGUCGUGAGGCAUGCUGGAGGUAUCAGAAGUGCGAAUGCUGACAUAAGUAACGAUAAAGCGGGUGAAAAGCCCGCUCGCCGGAAGACCAAGGGUUCCUGUCCAACGUUAAUCGGGGCAGGGUGAGUCGACCCCUAAGGCGAGGCCGAAAGGCGUAGUCGAUGGGAAACGGGUUAAUAUUCCCGUACUUGGUGUUACUGCGAAGGGGGGACGGAGAAGGCUAUGUUGGCCGGG